Molecule: long non-coding RNA, 3192 nt
Organism: Ostrea edulis (European flat oyster)
Lineage: Eukaryota; Metazoa; Mollusca; Bivalvia; Ostreida; Ostreidae
Exons: 2
Source: RefSeq, a predicted model, not a curated record
AAUAACUGGAAAUUUUCCAUUGAAAUAAAAUUGAAAAUCAAUUGAAAUAGCAGUUAUCAUUGAAAUACCAGUAUUUUAUCAGUGAUUUGCUUUUGGGGCUCAUUAGAACAGUUAUUUCAUGACCAUUGAAAUACCUGUUUUUGGAUAAAUAUACUUUCAAUACCUUAAAUUUACCAGUGAAACACAAGUUUUUCUUAAAACUUGAUAAUCAAUGCUAUAAAUAUACAUUGUUAUACCAGUUAAUUUCUAUUACAGUUUUUCUGUUUUCAAUGGUGAAGCAUAUCUUAGUCUAGUCAAUCUAAAAGUUAUAUAAAAGUUUCCAUCCUCUAAACCUUUCAUCAGAAAUUGAUAUUGAUAUAAUUGAUCACAAAUUUUCCCUGAGACAGGGACUUUUGGACCAAGGUCAUUUUGGAAAGGUAAAGGUCAAUCGGAACAUAUACCUUAUGUAAGUAAAAGUUUUGGAAGUUAUGAAUGAAUAUUGACACCAAAAUAAUCCCCCCCCCCCCCCCCCCCCCCCCCCGUAAAAUUAAAAAAAAAAAUUCUAGUUAAUAAUUCUCAAAAACACGGCAACCCCCCCCCCCUCAUCCUUCAUUUAAAAUGAUUCUGCGUAUCAACGUAGUAACCCCCCUCCCCCAAAUGCAACGUACUUUAUAAUGGGUGGCUCCCCCCUCCCCCGGCCACUCUUUUUUAUUUUUGUAGUAGUGAGUGGGAAGAUUAGGUAGAGGUUAUGAGUAUUGGCCCCAUUUAUUAAGUGACUCUCUCUCUCUCACGCUAUAUGAUUUUCAAAGAAGUCGAUAUCGAGAAUAUUAAAAUCUGGUAGAUCCCCCCUCUGAAAAAACAGUAGAUUAAAUAGAUAUCGGUAAAUCGGCUGUUUCUUUCGACACGAUUCCUGGAUCCGCCCUUGAUCCUCUCGCUUCUUCAGGAUGCUGAUCGCGCAGACUCCACAUGACGUCAUUUAAGGCAUUUGAAUUUCUUUCAACGCGGAGUGUUGGACGAGUGAAUAUAAUUGAUCAACAUUUUUGCAGCGAUAUAUUAUACCGAUGACAGGAAAAUAGAAGUGGUCCAUUCUAAGAAGUGAAUCGGUUGGAAAAUGCAAACAAACAUUCACAACUUUCAACUUGUUGUAUAGAGACUGUGACAAAAUGUAAGCUACUUGAUGAUGCGUGGGGCGGGAGAGUUGGAUUCAGAGACAUGAUGUCGACUACGAUGUGUGUAAACAAAGGUAAGCAUUUCUUUCGUAUAAAUUUCAAGUCCAAUCACAUGGGCCUGUCACGAAUUUGAUCCUUCUCUAUAUAGACUAUACAAUAAAUUAUAGUGCGGGGGCCUAAAUUUUGCAGCCCUUCACCGGCAAUGGUGACGUCUCGAGAGGGAAGUAAAACAUAGCGCAGAUUUCAAUUCACUGCGAUGAUUUACAUGGAUGUCGUUAGAAGAAAAUAUCGAGAUUAAAGAUGUGUUUCUUAAUUAGAUCUUAGGAGUCUGCAGUUUUAUCUGUAAGGGUGUACAAUAUAAAUAACAAACACUAAGCUCUUCGCGAUCGAAGCAACAGGAAUGUAACCCAAUUUUGGCAAAACACAACACGCGGCCCGGUAUGAUUUAACUAAAUAUGACAGUGGAAAUGUCCCACCUGAUUUCUGGAACGACCACGGUAAAUAACGUUGACAAUUUUGAUUUAAGAAACAUCACAAUGUGUAAUAUACAUAAUAUAUUUUUGAAAAUGCAUAUUUCUAGACUGUCCUGACUACAAUUUUAUUUCUACAUGUUACAUAAAUGUGGGGAAAAAUACUCGUCUUAUGAUUCUUCUUUUAUUUUAUUUUUUAUUUUUGUAGAUUAAGCUUGAUGAAUCCUACAACCUGUUAAUAGAUGCGAGCAAGAUUACCAGGCGGCGCCGGACUUGGACUUGUUGCUGCAUUAUUUUACUCCGACAUAUCUGGCAGCACACUCGACAGCAAAUAGAAUACUAUACUGCUAAUUCAAGAAUACUUACAAAAGCAGUUCAAAUGUGAUAAUGCCACACCCCUCAUAAAAAGAAAAUGCUUGGACAUUGCCAGAAGCCCGAAAUUGAUUGAUUCAGUGUUGCAAUGAAUUUAUAGGACGUGUACUAGACAUGAAAUCUGCAAAAUGGACUUUUCCUUGUUGUGCCUACAUUUCUUAAAUGUUAACUGUAGCACACUCGUGCUUGUUGCUCCAAUGGAAGCAGCCAUUUGGGGCAUAGUAAGAUCCAGAUUGGACCAGAAACAAUUUUUGUUCCGGAAUUUAAAAGCAGUCGGGGGUUUUGAGUCCAGGUCGGUCGGGCAACGGGAAACGGACAUAAACUUGAAGAAACAGGCUUUAGAGGAAUACACCAAGAAAAUGUAAAAAUGUGAAAGAAAUUUGUAUUUAUGACAUAAUACAUUUUGAUGUAUGCUUUCAUCAUUUUGUUGAUGGCAGUGAUCAACUGUUGAAUGUUCAAGUCCAGUUUUAUAUUUUCUUAAACAAUGUUGUAGAAUAAGCAGUAAAAAGACUGUGCAUUUACCUGAUCAUGUACCAUUUGCUUUUCAACUUUCUAUGUAUGUGUUUUUUGCUUCAUUCUAUUUUGUACAAUUCAUGAGUUUGCAUAGAACAUGAGUUGGCACACAUGUGGAAAUUUGUUUUAUUGGUAUUUCAAAUGCCAAGUACAAAAUAAUUUGACCUGUAGUGGGUUGUGAAAACAAAAAAUUGAUUCUAUUUUUCUUUAUUGUUAUAUUUGUAUUUCAUAACAUUGUCAACAAAAUUUCAUUAAGCAGUUUUUCCUGUUAAUAGUAAAUAAUUAAAAAAAAAAAAAAAAAGAUUUUUCAAUGGAUUUUUAAUGUAUAUUUAUGAACUAUUAUUUAUUUUUCCAUUGAUUUUACAGUUAAUUUUGAUGUCAUUUAACUGGCUCAAGCUCAUUUACAUAUUUCGCUUAUUUCAAUGAGGUUUCAAUUGAGUCUCAAUGGAGUUUCACUGUAUUUUCAAUGAAAACUGGAAAAUCACUGGCUCAAGCUCAUUUACAUAAUUCACGUAUUUCAAUGAGGUUUAAAUUGAGUCUCAAUGGAGUUUCACUGCAUUUUCAAUGAAAACUGGAAAAUCAAUGCUUUUUCUAGGUUUGAAUUGUAUUGCUAGUUUUAUUUGAAUUUGUGAUACUGGUAUAACACUGUUCUUUCAAUGGUCAGAAUAAAACUACAAAAGUAAUGGAAA